AAUAGAUACCCGGGUAGUCCACGCUGUAAACGAUGUCAACUAGCUGUUGGUUAUAUGAAAAUAAUUAGUGGCGCAGCAAACGCGAUAAGUUGACCGCCUGGGGAGUACGGUCGCAAGAUUAAAACUCAAAGGAAUUGACGGGGGCCCGCACAAGCGGUGGAGCAUGUGGUUUAAUUCGAUGCAACGCGAAGAACCUUACCUACCCUUGACAUACAGUGAAUAAAGCAGAGAUGCAUUAGUGCCUUCGGGAACACUGAUACAGGUGCUGCAUGGCUGUCGUCAGCUCGUGUCGUAAGAUGUUGGGUUAAGUCCCGUAACGAGCGCAACCCUUAUCCUUAGUUGCCAUCGCGUAGAGGCGGGAACUCUAAGGAGACUGCCGGUGACAAACCGGAGGAAGGCGGGGAUGACGUCAAGUCAUCAUGGCCCUUACGGGUAGGGCUACACACGUGCUACAAUGGCCGAUACAGAGGGCAGCGAAGGGGCGACCUGGAGCAAAUCUUAGAAAGUCGGUCGUAGUCCGGAUUGGAGU
Molecule: ribosomal RNA, 529 nt
Filed under: uncultured bacterium
Lineage: Bacteria
Description: bacterial SSU rRNA
Rfam family: Bacterial small subunit ribosomal RNA
Source: RNAcentral